UCGUAUGUGUGGACUCUAAUGUAGUUCAAAAUAAAUAACGAACGAGAUAAAGUACAACUAAAUAAUCAUCAUAUAAAAAUUAUGUAUAAUUUAUGAAAAAAUAACAAUCCACAUCAUCAUAGCUUAGCAACUCGGUUGAUUUCACAUGGCAAAGGUCAUUUGUACAUCAGAUCUCUUCGAUCCAACAUCACCCUUCUCUCUUCAACCAACAUCUCAUAGAUUAGCUAUAAAAAAGGAAAAUCACCGUGAAGGAAAAAAAAGAACGUUAUUAUGUAUUGUUUCAAAGAUUCAUUGCUCCACCAUUGUAGGAUUUAGCUUUUGAUGAUGACAAUGGUGAAACACAUAACAAUCAAGACUAUUUGUAAUAACAUUUUCAAGAAGGAUAUGAAGAUGAAAGUGAUUGCGUUUGUGUAGAAAGACAAAAAAAUUGUAUGUUUAAAAGGCGAUUUCAUACUGAAUGUUGUUACAGAUGAAUGUGAGAGAUUAGAGAAGAAUGAGUGUUUGGUCGAAACUAAUUUCCAAUCAAGCAGUCAAAUUGCUUAAACGGACCAAGACAUAAUACUCUUUGUAUCGACUUGUAUGUUUCGUCAGUUGAGCAAUCUGAAAACUUGAAUGGAUAUUAGUGUAGACCAACACUCUUUCCUAUCAUCACAUUCAUCCACAACAAUUUUCAGUGUUGAAUCAUUUUUAACUUUACAUUUUCUUGUCUUUCUCUUCCGUCUCUUCAGAUCCUACUUAGAGAAGUUAAGAAAAAAACAAUAAAUAGAUCCUAAAAGAUAUUAAAAGAAAACUCUGAAACAAUUAAUUUUCUAUAGUGAAAGCUCAUGCUCUAGAGAGAAAG
RNAcentral lists this long non-coding RNA (841 nucleotides) under Capsella grandiflora. RNAcentral's name for it is "long non-coding RNA (CGRA_LNC001377)". The record is from RNAcentral. Lineage: Eukaryota; Viridiplantae; Streptophyta; Magnoliopsida; Brassicales; Brassicaceae.